UCUUUCAUUCAUCAUCCUCAAAGGUCUCUUCUCUCCCCUCUUCCUAACUCUCGGAGCUUUUUUUAAUUCUUUUAUUCUCAGCUUCUUGAGGAGCUUAUCUAGCAAUGGAAGGAGUUCCAGGGGUCAAUCAUACUGUUCCAAAUCCUAACCAUUAUGACAAGUCAAUAGUGCUAGAUGUAAAACCACUGCGAAGUUUGAAACCUGUUUUUCCAAAUGGUAACCAAGG
Non-coding RNA from Camelina sativa (false flax), 226 nucleotides. The record is from RefSeq and is a predicted model, not a curated record. Lineage: Eukaryota; Viridiplantae; Streptophyta; Magnoliopsida; Brassicales; Brassicaceae.